RNAcentral lists this ribosomal RNA (1204 nucleotides) under uncultured eukaryote. Its description in RNAcentral is "SSU rRNA". It matches the Rfam family "Eukaryotic small subunit ribosomal RNA", at positions 577 to 1805 of the family's 1831-position model. The record is from RNAcentral.
CGGUAAUUCCAGCUCCAAUAGCGUAUAUUAAAGUUGUUGCCGUUAAAAAGCUCGUAGUCGAACUUCGGCCUUUGCCGCCCGGUCCGCCCUAUGGGUGUGUACUGGAGCGGUGGAGGCUUACCUCGUGGUGAACGGCCAUGCUCUUUACUGGGUGUGGUCGGGAACCAUGAUUUUUACUUUGAAAAAAUUAGAGUGUUCAAAGCAGGCUUACGCCCGAAUACAUUAGCAUGGAAUAAUAAAAUAGGACAUGCGGUUCUAUUUUGUUGGUUUCUAGAAUCGCCGUAAUGAUUAAUAGGGAUAGUUGGGGGCAUUCGUAUUCAAUUGCUAGAGGUGAAAUUCUUGGAUUUAUUGAAGACGAACUACUGCGAAAGCAUUUGCCAAGGAUGUUUUCAUUGAUCAAGAACGAAGGUUAGGGGAUCGAAAACGAUCAGAUACCGUUGUAGUCUUAACAGUAAACGACGCCGACUAGGGAUCGGACGAGGAUUUUUAAUGACUCGUUCGGCACCUGAAGAGAAAUCUUUAAGUCUAGGUUCGGGGGGGAGUAUGGUCGCAAGGCUGAAACUUAAAGGAAUUGACGGAAGGGCACCACCAGGUGUGGAGCCUGCGGCUUAAUUUGACUCAACGCGGGGAAACUCACCAGGUCCAGACACGACAAGGAUUGACAGAUUGAUAGCUCUUUCUUGAUUUCGUGGUUGGUGGUGCAUGGCCGUUCUUAGUUGAUGGAGUGAUUUGUCUGGUUAAUUCCGAUAACGAACGAGACCUUAACCUGCUAAAUAGCCCGGCCGACUUUGGUUGGUCGCUGGCUUCUUAGAGGGACUAUCAGCGUUUAGCUGAUGGAAGUUUGAGGCAAUAACAGGUCUGUGAUGCCCUUAGAUGUUCUGGGCCGCACGCGCGCUACACUGACCGAACCAGCGAGUUUAUCACCUUGGCCGGAAGGCCUGGGUAAUCUUGUGAAACUCGGUCGUGAUGGGGAUAGAGCAUUGCAAUUAUUGCUCUUCAACGAGGAAUACCUAGUAAGCGUGAGUCAUCAGCUCGCGUUGAAUUCGUCCCUGCCCUUUGUACACACCGCCCGUCGCUACUACCGAUUGAAUGGCUUAGUGAGGUCUCCGGAUUGGCUUCUGGGAGCCGGCAACGGCACCUAGUCGCUGAGAAGUUGAACGAACUUGGUCAUUUAGAGGAAGUAAAAGUCGUAACAAGGUAGCCG